Non-coding RNA from Leptonychotes weddellii (Weddell seal), 685 nucleotides. The record is from RefSeq and is a predicted model, not a curated record. Lineage: Eukaryota; Metazoa; Chordata; Mammalia; Carnivora; Phocidae.
GCCGCCCUUCCUCGCCCCGGGAGGAGCCUCCCUGCCCUGAGCCGGCUGUCCCACACAGCCCAGCUGGAAGCUCCAGUGGUCAGGCCAGGCAGGCGGCCUCCGGAGGCACCUUGGGGCGGCCGGAGACGGGGAGGAUCCACCUCUGGGCUGAGCAGGCCGCGAUGGGGGCCGUGGCCAAGCCUGGGCCCGGGCCGUAUCAGACUCUGGCACAAGAGAAGUGCAGGGAGCCCCCACCAGCCAGAAGAGCAGCGGCCACCGCUGUCCAGGGGAUGACAGAGCCCCCUUCUCCAGGUGAGCCCCACAGCAAGCUUCAGAUGCUCUGGGCACGAGCAGGGCGUCCGGCUGGGCCUGGGAACGUUCUACACACACAUGCACUUAGGUGACCGGGGCCCAGGCUCCGCUGAGGGGGGCAGGCCCCGCACCUCGCACAUGAUGAGGGCCGUGAUAAUCAUGGUGUGGACGUGACCAAAAUAAUACUAGAGGCCCCGGGUGGGGCGUGCCUGCACCUGGUUCCCGCCACCUCCCUUGGUGGGCACUGCUGCCACGAGGGACUGCUUUAGCCCUGGUGACAAAUGCAGAAAUGGAGCCCAGGAGUCCCCGGUGGUGGCCACAGGGCUAGAGGGACUCCCUGGGGGCCUACGGGACACCCAGGGGUGGUCCUGACUGUCCUGAACGAAGGGGGGUG